GACGAACGCUGGCGGCGUGCUUAACACAUGCAAGUCGAACGGAAAGGCCCUGCUUUUGUGGGGUGCUCGAGUGGCGAACGGGUGAGUAACACGUGAGUAACCUGCCCUUGACUUUGGGUUAACUUCAGGAAACUGGGGCUAAUACCGGAUAGGAGCUCCUGCUGCAUGGUGGGGGUUGGAAAGUUUCGGCGGUUGGGGAUGGACUCGCGGCUUAUCAGCUUGUUGGUGGGGUAGUGGCUUACCAAGGCUUUGACGGGUAGCCGGCCUGAGAGGGUGACCGGCCACAUUGGGACUGAGAUACGGCCCAGACUCCUACGGGAGGCAGCAAUGGGGAAUAUUGCACAAUGGGCGGAAGCCUGAUGCAGCAACGCCGCGUGCUGGAUGACGGCCUUCGUGUUGUAAACCGCUUUCGCCUGUGACGAAGCGUGAGUGACGGUAAUGGGUAAAGAAGCACCGGCUAACUACGUG
This 468-nucleotide ribosomal RNA is filed under the name uncultured bacterium. RNAcentral describes it as "partial 16S ribosomal RNA". It matches the Rfam family "Bacterial small subunit ribosomal RNA", at positions 28 to 507 of the family's 1533-position model. The record is from RNAcentral.